UACCUGGUUGAUCCUGCCAGUAGUCAU
This 27-nucleotide non-coding RNA is filed under the name Vicia sativa (common vetch). The record is from RNAcentral. Lineage: Eukaryota; Viridiplantae; Streptophyta; Magnoliopsida; Fabales; Fabaceae. RNAcentral also lists the same sequence under 28 other names.